GGUUGCAGUUAAAAAGCUCGUAGUUGGAUUUCGGAACCGGCCGAUUGGUCCGUCCUCUGGAUCGUGUACUGAUCGGUCUGUUCUUCUUCGCGAAGACCGCGUGUGCUCUUAACUGAGUGGGCGCGGGAUUCGCGACGUUUACUUUGAAAAAAUUAGAGUGUUCAAAGCAGGCAGUCGCUUGAAUAUCUCAGCAUGGAAUAAUAGAAUAGGACUUUGGUCUUAUUUUGUUGGUUUCCGAGACCGAAGUAAUGAUUAAUAGGGACAGUUGGGGGCAUUCGUAUUUCAUUGUCAGAGGUGAAAUUCUUGGAUUUAUGAAAGACGAACUUCUGCGAAAGCAUUUGCCAAGGAUGUUUUCAUUAAUCAAGAACGAAAGUUGGAGGCUCGAAGACGAUCAGAUACCGUCCUAGUUCCAACCAUAAACGAUGCCGUCUGCGGAUCGGAGGUCGCUCAUGUAAGGCUC
RNAcentral lists this ribosomal RNA (460 nucleotides) under uncultured marine eukaryote. RNAcentral describes it as "SSU rRNA". It matches the Rfam family "Eukaryotic small subunit ribosomal RNA", at positions 612 to 1077 of the family's 1831-position model. The record is from RNAcentral.